Molecule: long non-coding RNA, 575 nt
Organism: Magallana angulata
Lineage: Eukaryota; Metazoa; Mollusca; Bivalvia; Ostreida; Ostreidae
Exons: 3
Source: RefSeq, a predicted model, not a curated record
AUUCACAAACCGAUUUUGAACCAACAGUCACUGCUUGUUACCAACAAGAUAAGAACGAUUCGCAAUGUUUUUCUUUACCCGAAUUGCACGAGCGAAAAACUUAUCAAGUUGAUUCUAUACCCCACUGCACCGUUCCUUGGAUAUGUCAAACAAGACACACAUGUGGUAUUCUACUUAUUAUUGGAUCCAUUGUCGUCUUUGGAAUAUUAAAUGUUGUUUGUAUAUACUGUAGUGUCAGGUACUUUGUACGGAGAAAGUUGGCCAGCGCGACUUUAAGACGAGGAGACUGUUUACCGAGUCCAGUGAGAACAACCGUACACAUUUACUCACACAUGUAAAACAAAGUCAGGAAUAAAACGUUUCAGUAAAUUGGGAUUGAUAAUUUUUUGUGUGUUUAUAGCAAGUAUCUAUAUGUUAUGAUAUGUUACAAUAGUACUUUUUAUAUGCAUAAAACGGUUGCAAAGCAUCUGAGUGUAGAAAUACGGCAACAAUUAUGAUGCACGACGCAUAAUGAUAGAUUUACAGUGCUCAGUAAGUACGCCGUUUAUUAUGUAAAAAAUUUCAUAAGAUAACAA